Molecule: non-coding RNA, 1428 nt
Organism: Oryctolagus cuniculus (rabbit)
Lineage: Eukaryota; Metazoa; Chordata; Mammalia; Lagomorpha; Leporidae
Source: RefSeq, a predicted model, not a curated record
UAGUCUGGCCUAUGAGCCUAUGUCCUAACCCCCUGCUCUACUGGGGAGGAAGAAAGGCCAGACUGUCUAUGAUAGCUACAGACACCAGAGCUUACAGACAAAUAAUAAAAAGAAGAGAACCCAGUUCAUGAGACCAUCAGAAACACAGGUGAUAAGGAGACAUAACAAAGAGAGAUGAAGAGAAUGAAGAGGACACAAGAGUUAAAGGUUAAGUGUGGCUUUGAUUCCCAUGGAGAUGGGGGAAAUGGCACUGCAGGAAAGGUGAAGCACACGCUGGAACUGAUCCUUAAAGCUCGGCAAGCAGGCGUUGCGAUCCAGCAAGGAGCACCCCAGGGAUCUGUUACGGAUAGUGAACACGACUUCGGAGCACAGGAUCUGGUGGCACGAGUGUCUGGCUUCCAAUCCUGACUUUGCCAAAACAGUUUUGUCACUCUAAGCACAAAAUGUACUCCUCUGUGUUUUAGGUUUCAGGCAAUUUAUCAUGAGAUGGGCUUCUUACUAAGCUCCUUAAAUGCAUUAUUGUAUUUAUUCUUCCCUCACAAUAUUAUGGCAGAUGUACAAAUAUCCUUAAAUCUCAGAUGAGAAAAGUAAGUAUCAGUGAAUUUAAAUAACUGAUGAACAUCAUACUGUGAGCUAGAGGGAACUGAGACUUUAACUGGUUCUAUCUGAUGCCAUAAUGUUUUGUACUAUUAUACCACCAGGUCGUACUGCUUGUCUAAUAACCCAGUGACAUCAAUGAGAAAAAACAGGUCCUAGAACUGUAUGUCCAACCCACAAUUAUGGGUCAAGUCAUAGGAAAGUGGAAGGCUGAGGACAACUCCAGCAGGGGUGCUGGAGACCAGUCAUUUAAAUCGGCUACGUGUGUAGCACAGACCCCAAGGACACAGUUGGAGUCAUUCCCCAUGUUGUGAGCAAUUUUUGUUUAGGGAGGCGAGAUACACUGGGUGGAUUGUUGAGGCUAUUUUUACUGUAAGUUCAGUUUCAGAAGCCAUUUCAGGAUCUCAUGGCAGAAGAUAGGAGGACACAGUUUUGGAAAGAUCUCCCAAUGAAAAUCCUCUGGAUUCAAGAUUGUGACAAUGCUUCUCACAUUUGGAGGACAAUAUCCUUCCAGGAAGUCAGAGUAAUGAGAGAAAAAUUUCGAGCUGCAGCUACAAACCACUGCCCAUGCGUGUCCACUGUGCAUAUGAGACUACCCUCCACAAAUGGCCUUUAAACUGCAUUAUUGGGAAUAUUUUUAAUGAUAAAAAUAAGUCUCUAAUAUUAUUUUAUCGUCACCUCAUUUACAGUAGAGGGCCCUGCAAACAGUCUUCAUUUAACAAAUUCUACUAAUUGAUUAUCCAAGGACACAGCAGUUGAAAACUUAUGUUGGAGGUUGAGAAUGAGAGUGAAAUAAUUUAUGAAACCAAUUAUAAAUUAGAGAAGAUAAUA